UACGAAGGGUGCAAGCGUUACUCGGAAUUACUGGGCGUAAAGCGUGCGUAGGUGGUGAGUUAAGUCUGUCGUGAAAGCCCCGGGCUCAACCUGGGGAUGGCGAUGGAUACUGGCUCGCUAGAGUGCGGUAGAGGAGAGUGGAAUUCCCGGUGUAGCAGUGAAAUGCGUAGAGAUCGGGAGGAACAUCAGUUGCGAAGGCGGCUCUCUGGACCAGCACUGACACUGAGGCACGAAAGCGUGGGGAGCAAACAGG
This 253-nucleotide ribosomal RNA is filed under the name uncultured bacterium. RNAcentral's name for it is "partial 16S ribosomal RNA". It matches the Rfam family "Bacterial small subunit ribosomal RNA", at positions 524 to 776 of the family's 1533-position model. The record is from RNAcentral.